UAACAAAUACAGAAAAGAUUUGGUUAGUUGGGUGCCGGGUGGACUUUGCAGAGUGUAGACCCCUUAAUAGUGAGGUGGUUGCUUUCCUCUAAGGCGUAACACUCCCUAUCGAUGCGUUUUUACACCUCACAGCUUCAACAGAUCGCUUAGCCCCAUUUUUUUUUAUUGUUCCUUAGCUAUAUAAGUCCCUUAAUUUUGAAUUUACAGUCAUCAAGCAGCAUCAUCUUAUAUUCCCCCUUCCCCCAAAAUCUUCUUCUGAAGUUUCCUGCUACUUAGUGCUUACUGAUGUUUGUUUGUCAUUUGCAGGUGCAGAAUACUUCCUGGACAAGACCAUGGAGAAUGACAAAAACUAAUUAAAAACCAGGCUCAGAGGCCCGCAUAAAUUUGUCUCCUCAAAACCACACCAAUGUGGGCUGGAGAGCCCGACCCAACCAACCAGCCUUCAUGGGCACACAGGCUAAGUCUAGAGGUGGACAAGGGAGCUUGGCCUCCCUUAUAACCAGCACUUCAGUCUCACAUCUAAGGGAUGUGAAACCAUCGCGAGUGAGAAUAUCAGCUAAUGGUACAAAAACUGUGGCAGAGCUGAGACGGCCUUUGGAAGAGCUUAUGAAGGGAAAGAUCAUCAAUGAUGCUUCUCCUCUCAUACGGCAUCACACUUAUACAUCAUCAGCUCCACACCAAGCUUUUGAGAGAACUUAGGUCUCCAAAUCCCAUCAUGCUCAUUCAUCACUCCAGCACUCGGUUUCUGGUUAUUUUAUUCCCAUCCUUUCAUUUUGAUGGUUUGAGAUUGAUUUGGUUUGUGGGUUUUAAUCAAAAACUUGAACAAGAUGGAGUAACUGUCCUUUUAGAGACGUGAAAGGCAGAGGACGUUUGUGGGGUUGGAGGUUGAAGUUAUUUGUGUUCUAAUAGAGAUUUCAGUCCGAUAAAUUGUCUUUAGUAUUCAACUUUUUGGCUUUGAGAGCAUCUUUUCAAGAACAGAUUAAUUCAAGAAAUCCCAAAAAUUAACAUUAAAAAAUGAAAGAGUGUGACCAGAACCCAGAACCAGAAGUCACAAUGCACUAAACGAAGAGAAGAAACAAACUAGGCUCUGUUUAUUACGAGCACAUUAGCAUUAUCACGAUCACUAAAUACCCAACUAUGGACUAAAAGUUUGGGUUGUAGCGUUCGUAGCAGACAAUAGCUACAUGACCUGAUAUGCCACAAAUUUGACAAAUUGGACGAGGGAUCCGACGCUGAAUGCUAGAAGAAAAAGAAGAAGCAGCUCUGGAUCUACCACAACCAGCUCUUUUUCCAAGCAGCCUCGAAUUCUUCGACAGCGGAUGAACCAUGUUGUUGUUGCUGAAGGGUGAAGAAGUGGCGCUGGAAUCGCUCAUCGACGCCGUGAGGUGGGGUUUGGUUGAAAAAUCAAGGGAGGUGAGAAUCGUAGAGUGCUUCGAUCCCUCUCGAAUCUGUAGCAGAAGUAUUGUAUUGGUUUAGUUCUUGAUUUUUCCGAUCAUUUUACUGUUUGUGCGACUUGCGAUUUGCGAAUCGAUAGGGUCUCUCCUGUCAUAGUGAUGGGGUUAUAUCUGUAAUUACAGUCA
Long non-coding RNA from Tripterygium wilfordii, 1580 nucleotides. RefSeq lists it as uncharacterized. The record is from RefSeq and is a predicted model, not a curated record. NCBI's taxonomy places the organism in Eukaryota, Viridiplantae, Streptophyta, Magnoliopsida, Celastrales, Celastraceae. The transcript has 2 exons.